RNAcentral lists this ribosomal RNA (252 nucleotides) under uncultured bacterium. RNAcentral describes it as "partial 16S ribosomal RNA". It matches the Rfam family "Bacterial small subunit ribosomal RNA", at positions 524 to 776 of the family's 1533-position model. The record is from RNAcentral.
UACGGGGGGGCAAGCGUUGUUCGGAAUUACUGGGCGUAAAGGGCUCGUAGGCGGCCAACUCAGUCAGACGUGAAAUCCCUCGGCUUAACCGGGGAACUGCGUCUGAUACUGGAUGGCUUGAGGUUGGGAGAGGGAUGCGGAAUUCCAGGUGUAGCGGUGAAAUGCGUAGAUAUCUGGAGGAACACCGGUGGCGAAGGCGGCAUCCUGGACCAAUUCUGACGCUGAGGAGCGAAAGCGUGGGGAGCGAACAGG